RNAcentral lists this ribosomal RNA (462 nucleotides) under uncultured bacterium. RNAcentral describes it as "partial 16S ribosomal RNA". It matches the Rfam family "Bacterial small subunit ribosomal RNA", at positions 28 to 507 of the family's 1533-position model. The record is from RNAcentral.
GACGAACGCUGGCGGCGUGCUUAACACAUGCCAGUCGAACGGAAAGGCCCUUCGGGGUACUCGAGUGGCGAACGGGUGAGUAACACGUGGGUGAUCUGCCCUGCACUUUGGGAUAAGCCUGGGAAACUGGGUCUAAUACCGAAUAUGAUCAUCGGCUUCAUGGUCGGUGGUGGAAAGCUUUUGCGGUGUGGGAUGGGCCCGCGGCCUAUCAGCUUGUUGGUGGGGUAAUGGCCUACCAAGGCGACGACGGGUAGCCGGCCUGAGAGGGUGACCGGCCACACUGGGACUGAGAUACGGCCCAGACUCCUACGGGAGGCAGCAGUGGGGAAUAUUGCACAAUGGGCGCAAGCCUGAUGCAGCGACGCCGCGUGAGGGAUGACGGCCUUCGGGUUGUAAACCUCUUUCAGCACAGACGAAGCGCAAGUGACGGUAUGUGCAGAAGAAGGACCGGCCAACUACGUG